Tolypothrix bouteillei VB521301 is the source of this 199-nucleotide non-coding RNA. NCBI's taxonomy places the organism in Bacteria, Bacillati, Cyanobacteriota, Cyanophyceae, Nostocales, Tolypothrichaceae. The record is from Rfam.
AAUUAAAUACAGCGACAGCCGGAGACAGCAGGUGCUAUUUGCUUAAUAUCCUGCCGAGGUUUGCGUCUUAAAUGCUAAAAGUACAUCCUAAAAAGGCUUUAUGUACUGUGGUGUAAAGACGAUGAAGUAAAGACUUAUUGUUAAAAGUGUCUUUACUACAAAACCCCGGCUGCGAGAGCUGGGGUUUAUUGUUUUUGUA